Molecule: long non-coding RNA, 665 nt
Organism: Thalassophryne amazonica
Lineage: Eukaryota; Metazoa; Chordata; Actinopteri; Batrachoidiformes; Batrachoididae
Exons: 3
Source: RefSeq, a predicted model, not a curated record
GUGGGCCAGCAGUACCUCCUCUUCAGCGGCCCACACAACAAUUUACACUUGUUCUGAGUGAGGUAGCUCCAAUCCUAUCAGUUGUCUCACUGAUUUGCUUGAGGAUCAGGAAGCUGUGUGAGACUGGCAGUGAUUCCGAACAAAUGAAAAAGCUGAAAAAUAGAAUCCUGCAGAACCUGGACAAGCGAAUCCCCAUGACUAACUUGGUGAAAGCGAGUGUCUGCUUUGACCCAUCAGUGAGGGAUAUAGUCUUGACCAAGGACAAGCUACACAACAUAUCAAGGAACUACUCCCUAACAUUCAGACUUCAAGUUAAGGUUGUUAAGUCAGCAGUGUGAAAAAGCUGCGGAUGUCCUGGCUGGAGGAUGCCAGAGACAGCGGGGAAUCUGUUGUGGAGUCUCGAGAACAACAACUGCAAAGAGAACUCAACAGGUACUUGUUGACCUCAACAAUUGCUGAAACUUCCUUGGAGUUUUGGAAGGACAAUCAAAAACACUUUCCAUAGUUGUCAUCUUUGGCUAAAGUGUAUCUUUGCAUAUCAGCAAGCAGCAUGCCUGUGGAAUCCCUUUUCAGUACCACAUGUGUUCUUCUGAAUGGGAGAAGAUCUAGCCUAGCGCCAUCCAACCGCAAUAUGAUGUGCAUUAUUCAUGAUAAUUACAACAAAG